Long non-coding RNA from Gorilla gorilla gorilla (western lowland gorilla), 514 nucleotides. RefSeq lists it as uncharacterized. The record is from RefSeq and is a predicted model, not a curated record. Lineage: Eukaryota; Metazoa; Chordata; Mammalia; Primates; Hominidae. The transcript is spliced from 3 exons.
UUCCACCUGCUGACUGGAGCUCUGAGCUCCCAGAAAGCUUGGACAGAGAGUGCCAGGGGAAUGAGAGAUCCUGGAUACACCCUCCCCAGCUGGGGCAGGUGCCUAGACGCCCAGAGCUCCCUCCUCUAUAGAAGGGAACUGUGGCAGGCACGGUCCAGUCUUGAACUGUGUGGAGACCUUAGAGGUGACACAUGUAUAGCAUUUGGACAGGCAUCUGUGAGUGCAGGGGACAUUUGGCCACGUCUGGGACAUGUUUGGUUGUCACAACUGGGGGAAGGGGUGCUACUGGCAUCUGGUGAGCAAAGGCCAAGGAUGCUGCUUGACACCCCACCGUGCACAGGACAGCCCCCAUGGCGGCGAGUGACAGAGCCCAAAAUGUCAGUGAUGCCCAGGCUUCGAAACCCUGGCCUGCUGGGUCACUUUGGGGUGAGAGUGGACACACAAGGGCCAGUCCAGAGGAAGGUGGGUGCCAGGACCAGGGGAAUGGCCAGGAAGACAGGAGGAGCACACGGGC